AAAUUGAAGAGUUUGAUCAUGGCUCAGAUUGAACGCUGGCGGCAGGCCUAACACAUGCAAGUCGAACGGUAACAGGAAGCAGCUUGCUGCUUUGCUGACGAGUGGCGGACGGGUGAGUAAUGUCUGGGAAACUGCCUGAUGGAGGGGGAUAACUACUGGAAACGGUAGCUAAUACCGCAUAACGUCGCAAGACCAAAGAGGGGGACCUUCGGGCCUCUUGCCAUCGGAUGUGCCCAGAUGGGAUUAGCUAGUAGGUGGGGUAACGGCUCACC
Molecule: ribosomal RNA, 272 nt
Filed under: Escherichia coli
Lineage: Bacteria; Pseudomonadati; Pseudomonadota; Gammaproteobacteria; Enterobacterales; Enterobacteriaceae
Description: partial 16S ribosomal RNA
Rfam family: Bacterial small subunit ribosomal RNA
Source: RNAcentral